UACGUAGGGACCAAGCGUUGUUCGGAUUUACUGGGCGUAAAGGGCGCGUAGGCGGUUUGUACAGUCAGGUGUGAAAUUCCCGGGCUCAACCUGGGGGCUGCACUUGAUACGUAUGGACUGGAGUGGGGAAGAGGGUCGUGGAAUUCCCAGUGUAGAGGUGAAAUUCGUAGAUAUUGGGAAGAACACCGGUGGCGAAGGCGGCGACCUGGUCCUUGACUGACGCUGAGGCGCGAAAGCGUGGGGAGCAAACAGG
RNAcentral lists this ribosomal RNA (253 nucleotides) under uncultured bacterium. RNAcentral describes it as "partial 16S ribosomal RNA". It matches the Rfam family "Bacterial small subunit ribosomal RNA", at positions 524 to 776 of the family's 1533-position model. The record is from RNAcentral.